RNAcentral lists this long non-coding RNA (1278 nucleotides) under Canis lupus familiaris (dog). RNAcentral's name for it is "lncRNA (ENSCAFG00040012919.1)". The record is from RNAcentral. Lineage: Eukaryota; Metazoa; Chordata; Mammalia; Carnivora; Canidae.
AUGGCCCCGGCCCCCGCGCCGCCGCCUCGCCGCCUCGCAGCCUCGCCGCCGCGGGACGCCCAGCCUCCCGCCGCCAAACUUCUCCGCGCCGCGGCCCGCCGGCCCCCGCCUCCGCCCCGGCCCCCGCGCAGGCUCCGGGCCGAGGGCGCCCUUGGGCUGGCCCCGGCCCCGCGCUCCCCGCGCUCCCCGCGCGCUCCCCGCGCUCCCUUCCCGCUCCCCGCGGCCCCCGCUCUGCGCGCGAGUCUCCUCCUCCCCGCGGACUCCUCGGGGGCGGGGCGGGGCGCGGGCGGGGCGGGGCGGGGCGGGGCUGCUCCCGGGGACCCCGUCCCCAGCCCCGGGCGCCACGGCCGAGCCAAACCGGUCGGGAGGGGCGGGGGCCGGGCUGCGGCGGGGCCGGCGGGCGAGUGGCCGCGCAGCCCGGGGGUGGGGGGCGGGGGAGUGCGGCGCUCCCGCCGGCCUCCACCCCGGGCCGGGACGGUCUCGGGGCCUGGAUGGGGCCGUGCCCACUCCCCAAGACCCACCGGGUUAACGACCACUUGGAGACUGCGGAGGCGUGAAGGAGGCAGGGGCGAGGCUUUCAGUAAGUUGGCGACGUCGGGGUUAACUGGGAGUGAAUUGGGGGCGGGAUGCUGGGAGGACUGGAUCCCGAACACCCUUCAAUCUCGCUUCCCCUCCCUUUGGUCUCAGAUUCUGGGAGGUCCAGAGACGCCCAGUAAUUCGGGGAUGGGAGAAGUCAGAGAUGGCCGGCGGGGACCCCAAAUCUUCAAUCUUGUCCUCCCUGCAAGAGAGCCCUGUGACAGUGCCCUGGCUGCAUUUGACCUGGUUGACAGAGGCAAGCCCAGAAAACUGCCCAACGGGGAGAGGGGAGGUAAAGAAACUAAAGCAAGUAGUAAUGAAGUCAGAUCAGAGGAACAGGGGAUCUUUUUAAAAAGGGGUGUUGUUUCCCCGCAGGAAAGUGCUCCCAGGAGACUGCCUCCCAGAAGCAGAGGCUCUGCCUGCAAACUGGUCCAGUGGUCCACGGGGACAGAUGCCAUCUCUCUCUCCCAAGAGGCCCAGGGACUCACUCCUGGUCACUCAGUCCCCUUCCAGUCCUCUUCCCAUCACCCAACACCCACCUAUUCACUGGUCUUUGCUCCCCCCACCCUCCUGUCAGAAAGGGACACUCUUCCAUCGGUGAAAGUUGCAUUUAAUGCUCACAUCAUCAUAAAGCAGACACACAACCCCAACCCCAGAAUCCAACCUGUGACCAUCUCACCCGAUAAUGACUAUUCCCCUUAA